This is a non-coding RNA of Pelobates cultripes (western spadefoot toad), 247 nucleotides long. Lineage: Eukaryota; Metazoa; Chordata; Amphibia; Anura; Pelobatidae. The record is from the annotation of a GenBank genome assembly.
CGUGUACUUGUGCGGUAGGAAUGCGAUACACUGCCCCCCCUGCCACUCUCACAGCAAAUGAUUUCCUCGGCUUCUCCGAUGCAUUGAGAUGUCGUUGCACUAGCGUGAUGGUCGCACCACUGUCUCUUAAUCCCCGUGCUGUCUUGCCGUUAACCAUGACCAGUUGACAAUGGCGCUUCCGAUUGUCUGUGAUGGUGGAUUGUACCAUGAGGGCUUCAUAAAGGGUGCCCAAUGGAUCUUCCUGACU